AGCACUUGUGUGUGUUUGUGUUGAACUAGGGGACGGAGACAUAAGAACAGACACAAAAAUAAAGCUGCUUUUGCAACCCGGAAGUCACUGUUCAUUAUGAAUAUUGAUCAUAUAGGAAAGAGUGUG
RNAcentral lists this small nucleolar RNA (126 nucleotides) under Neotoma lepida (desert woodrat). RNAcentral's name for it is "Small nucleolar RNA SNORA40". It matches the Rfam family "Small nucleolar RNA SNORA40". Rfam says of the family: The snoRNA ACA 40 belongs to the H/ACA family of snoRNAs and guides the pseudouridylation of 28S rRNA subunit at position U4565. The record is from Rfam by way of RNAcentral. Lineage: Eukaryota; Metazoa; Chordata; Mammalia; Rodentia; Cricetidae.